CUGCAAAGCCUGUGAGGGUGGAGAGGGGAAAGCAGGGAUUUCAGUGGCUCUGUGCUUGUGUGCAAGAUGUGAGCAAAGCUGGUUGCAGUGAAUCAAUGCAUAUGAAUACCACCUGAGCACAGGGGUAGAGUUGAAGAGGAUACAUAAUGUCUGCAGAAUCUUAAUAUUCCAGAAAUAGGGUAUAAGGUAGGAACCUCUGGAGAGGUCACCUUAAAUCUUGAGAGCAGUGAGAUCUGAGGCAUUUGGAGUGAAUUACCCAGUCCUAUCAUGCAUUUGACUUGCAUGAACCCAGCUUUUGGGAAGGUGAGUACCUGUUUGCCUGCAUAUGGUGAUGUGUAUGCAAUGCUCAUCUGCAGAUCUUGUGCAGGCAACCAAGCAUAUUUCAUGAACUUACUACUACUCUCACUCUUAGCUGCCUCCUAUCCCUUCACUAAAGCGACUGCAUUAGAGAUUAUUUAAAAAGGGGCAGUUUUCCCUAAAAUAUUUGCAAUGGGGCCUAAGCAUCAUUAUUGCAUUUAAAGAUCUUAGUAACCAUCUUUAGUAUUAACUUCCAAGGCUCUGAGGAAGACACAGAUGUUCUUUAACCUCCCCUCCUUGUGUAACCUUAGAGAAGUUUUAUUAUCCCCAUCUUACAGCUAAAACCCAUCUGAAUGAUAAAAAUCACUCUUGGUCAUGAGGCAAAAGUCUCAGACACAUGCAUCCCCAAAUACGCAAUGGGAGGCAGGAGAAUGCCUGCUCUAAGAGUCUGACUUUGCAGCAUGCCGCCCACAGAGCUAGUGUCAUAGCAAAGUACAGAACACAGCAACCUGCAGAUGCUGUUGAUGAUGUAAAACUGCAAGGCAAAAUAAAAAUAUAAAUGUGCUUUCAAUUAGUGGGUGACACUCCUGAAAGUUUGAUUACUUGGCAUUUGAAGUGAAAAUGCCCAGCCAGAGACAUCAAGUCAAGAUAGAGAAAAAUGAGGAGCACGUUAAAAUAAGAAAAUUGGACUUCUUAUGAAGAACACAAUUUCUUGUUCACAUGUUGCUGAAAUGCAAAGAGACCUCCAGGAUGCACCAAAGAAAGGGACUAAGUAGAGAGCAGGAAGAAAGAUGAAGCUUAAAUUAUCAUCAUCAAAUCUGUUUGUCAAGUAAGGUACGCAUGUCUGAGGGAGGCUGUGUGUGGCUGCUGCUGCUGACAGAGCCCAGGCAGUGUGCUCUGUGCACGCACCCCAUCUGGAGUGAUCCCAUGAUAGAGAAGUCCUCAGGCCUGGAGGAGGACAAGACUGAUGCCAGCCUCUUGGGAUCGAAGCCCACCAGGACUGAAGCACAUUGACCUGCUGUGGCUGUGCAGAAAAGCUGAACCACUCAGCACCUCACGGUUCCAUGUGGCUACUUGUGUGGUCCAUUCCAGGGGCUCACAAGAAGGAAAUCCUCUCACCAGCCACAGGAAAGGGACUUUGUCUAGACAACAUCAAUUUUGCAGUACACUUUUUGCUCAGAGGAGGCUUCCUAAGUGCACCUCCUGUCACAUAUAGGCUUAUGAAGCCCUGUGUUUCUGCUGGAAACUUCAGGGACUGUGCAUCUUGGAUGUUAGACAAAGAAGUCAUCUUGCCCUUGCAGUUAGCAUCCUCCAAAGGCAGUGCCCCUGCAGUGGGAAUGUCUUGGAUGGCACGGGGAGAAGCACAGGGGUAAAGCAACUUGACAAGAGCACAAGCCAACAGCUGGUAUUGUUUAGCUUGUGCAUCUGUAUUAUAAGAUUUUAUAUGAUUAAAUUGUUCCAUGAGGCAGCUGUAACUAAGUUAUAAAAAGUCUCAUAAAUGUUCCAGCUGGUAGGUAGCAGACUGUGAGACGCAGCUGAUGGUCAAAUGUAUACUCUAAUCGGUCAUGAAAAAUUAUAUUUAAUUCACUUAGGUUUACUUGAGAGAGACUUGAAGCUAAAGGAUCAGCCAAA
Molecule: long non-coding RNA, 1929 nt
Organism: Oxyura jamaicensis (ruddy duck)
Lineage: Eukaryota; Metazoa; Chordata; Aves; Anseriformes; Anatidae
Exons: 5
Source: RefSeq, a predicted model, not a curated record